Molecule: long non-coding RNA, 654 nt
Organism: Vigna angularis (adzuki bean)
Lineage: Eukaryota; Viridiplantae; Streptophyta; Magnoliopsida; Fabales; Fabaceae
Exons: 2
Source: RefSeq, a predicted model, not a curated record
CGUGGAACCUAACCCAGCCAUCAAAACUUUGGUAGCCACCGCGUAGAACCUCUACCGAAACCUGCAAAACAGACAAAUCAAAUCAGCCCCAAUAAUCCAUUCCACACUGCAACACCCAACACCAAGAAGCUAAACGAUGUCGUUUAUGCGCGAAGAUUUGCUUUGUCGAACGGGGAAGGUGGUGAAGGGUCUAGCGAAGGCAGAACCCGGCGCCACCUACAACCCCACUGCCCCGUUCAUUUAUGCCUUGGAGUUUUUGGUGCUACCAAUGACCACAGAAUAUGCUCUGGCGUAGUUUCCUUCAACCGCAAAGGGUUUCACUUUUGGGGAUCUUCCCUUCGACCACUACAACUUCCACUGUAGGCGCAUACAAAAAGCCAAAACUGCUUGUUGGUGUAGAUUUGAUGGAUUGGAUGCCCUAUAACAAGUAACGGAUACUGGGUCUUUGGAGGAGAUCAUUGCUCUGUCAUUCUUCUGUUCAAAACAAACUUCUUCAUCAAAAUUCAAUAUAAGUUACACCACUUAUAGCCACUUUCUAAGGGAUUUAUUUUUAUAGAAUAUUCUUUCAGGGGAAUAUUUUGAAUAUAAUGUCCAAUUUACUUUUCGCUGUUAUCUGUUUAGUCUAUACUUAUGAAUUUCUUGGUUAAAAUUUAA